AGUGAACGCUGGCGGUAGGCCUAACACAUGCAAGUCGAACGGCAGCACAGUAAGAGCUCGCUCUUACGGGUGGCGAGUGGCGGACGGGUGAGGAAUAUAUCGGAAUCUACUUUUUCGUGGGGGAUAACGUAGGGAAACUUACGCUAAUACCGCAUACGACCUACGGGUGAAAGCAGGGGAUCUUCGGAUCUUGCGCGAUUGAAUGAGCCGAUGUCGGAUUAGUUAGUUGGCGGGGUAAAGGCCCACCAAGGCGACGAUCCGUAGCUGGUCUGAGAGGAUGAUCAGCCACACUGGAACUGAGACACGGUCCAGACUCCUACGGGAGGCAGCAGUGGGGAAUAUUGGACAAUGGGCGCAAGCCUGAUCCAGCCAUACCGCGUGGGUGAAGAAGGCCUUCGGGUUGUAAAGCCCUUUUGUUGGGAAGGAAAAGCAGCAGGUUAAUACCCCGCUGUUCUGACGGUACCCAAAGAAUAAGCACCGGCUAACUUCGUG
This 492-nucleotide ribosomal RNA is filed under the name uncultured bacterium. RNAcentral's name for it is "partial 16S ribosomal RNA". It matches the Rfam family "Bacterial small subunit ribosomal RNA", at positions 29 to 507 of the family's 1533-position model. The record is from RNAcentral.